Molecule: ribosomal RNA, 506 nt
Filed under: uncultured bacterium
Lineage: Bacteria
Description: partial 16S ribosomal RNA
Rfam family: Bacterial small subunit ribosomal RNA
Source: RNAcentral
AUUGAACGCUGGCGGCAGGCCUAACACAUGCAAGUCGGACGGUAGCACAGGGGAGCUUGCUCCUCGGGUGACGAGUGGCGGACGGGUGAGUAAUGUCUGGGGAUCUGCCCGAUAGAGGGGGAUAACCACUGGAAACGGUGGCUAAUACCGCAUAAUGUCGCAAGACCAAAGAGGGGGACCUUCGGGCCUCUCACUAUCGGAUGAACCCAGAUGGGAUUAGCUAGUAGGCGGGGUAACGGCCCACCUAGGCGACGAUCCCUAGCUGGUCUGAGAGGAUGACCAGCCACACUGGAACGGGGACACGGUCCAGACUCCUACGGGAGGCAGCAGUGGGGAAUAUUGCACAAUGGGCGCAAGCCUGAUGCAGCCAUGCCGCGUGUAUGAAGAAGGCCUUCGGGUUGUAAAGUACUUUCAGCGGGGAGGAAGGCGAUGUGGUUAAUAACCGCGUCGAUUGACGUUACCCGCAGAAGAAGCACCGGCUAACUCCGUGCCAGCAGCAGCCGCCG